AUGGCCGAUAUAAGUGCUGAGUGUUUGGAUGUGUACGUAAACAUUGUCAGCAGGAUGUUUCAUAGCGAGGAUGAAGGUUUUGAGUUCUAUAACAAGUAUGCUCUUGAGAAAGGCUUUAGUGUGAGAAAAGGCUAUGUUGAGUGGGAUGAAGCGAACGAGAAGAUAAUUCUGAGGAAAUUUGUCUGUAGUCGUGAAGGUUGCCGUGAAGAGAAGCACAUGAAGAGGAAGAGAGAAGAUAGGAAGAGGAAGCCACGAAAUAUCACUCGUGUGGGGUGUAAAGCGAAAUUUGUCAUUGCAAGAGUCGCCAAAAUAGGGCGGUGGUUUGUGAAGGAUUUCAUCGAUGAACACAACCAUCCUCUGGCCCCAUGAGACGUUGCUUGCUUUUUGCGUUCCCACAGAAGAAUCAGCGACGAGCAGAAAGCGGACAUUAUAGAGAUGGAAAAUGUUGGAAUCCAGAAACACAAAAUCAUGGAUGUGUUGUGCAUGCAGUACGGUGGAUAUGACCAGGUUGGAUGCACGACGAGGGACAUCUAUAACUUCUCCCAUCGCUACAAGCAGGAAACAGUCGCUGCUGGUGAUGCUCAGACGGUGAUCCGUCACAUGAUGGCGCGGCAAGAGAGAGACCCGGAUUAUUUCUUCAAAUACUUGGUUGAUAAACAUGGGCAUCUGAAGGGAUUGUUCUGGUCCAAUACUCAAUCUCGCCUUGACUAUGAGGCUUUCGGCGAUGUUGUGGUUUUUGAUAGCACAUACAGGACCAAUAAGUACAAUUUGCCGUUUGUGCCGUUUGUCGGGUUGAAUCACCACCGCAGCACAGUUAUCUUUAGAUGCGGGAUCAUUUCUCAUGAAACUAACGAGGCGUACGAGUGGAUGUUGCGGAUAUUUUCUGAAUCCAUGGCGCAGAAGCAUCCGAUAUCUGUAAUCACUGACGGGGACCUUGCAAUGCAGAGAGCGAUCAGGGUGGUGUGGCCUGACUCAUACCACAGGCUGUGUGUAUGGCACAUUCAACAGAACAUCGUACGCCAUCUGCAUGAUGACGAGGUUAGGGAAGAAUUUAGAUCUUUCAUAUAUGACUCGUCUUGUAUUGAAGAGCAUGAGAGAAAAUGGAUAGAGUUCUUACAAAGGAAUGAAGUGACAAGUGAGGAGUCGUGGUUGCAUCAGAUGUAUCAGAUGAAGAAGUUGUGGUGUGCUCCAUACCUGGUGGGGCACUGUUUCUUAGGAUUGAGCAGCAAUCAGCGGAGUGAGAGCCUAAACUCCGUGCUACAUACACAUCUUGAGGGUAAGAUGACAUUGUUUGAUAUGCUAGAGCACUAUGAGCGUUGCCUUUCGGGACGACGCUUGAAUGAGGCGAUCCUAGACAUCGUGACCUUGCAGUCCGUUCCAUUUACAGACGCGGAUGCUUCAAGUCUUGAGAAACAUGCUGCCCGA
RNAcentral lists this ribosomal RNA (1425 nucleotides) under Triticum aestivum (bread wheat). Its description in RNAcentral is "partial small subunit ribosomal RNA". The record is from RNAcentral. Lineage: Eukaryota; Viridiplantae; Streptophyta; Magnoliopsida; Poales; Poaceae.